GCCCAGGGGAGAGACUACUGGUGCUGUGCCUAUGCUCUCGUGGAUGGCGUGUGUCUCGGGUAGUAGCUCAGUUGGCAGCCUGUUCAGAGAUCAUCCAGACCAGCCCGUCUGGGAGCGACACCACAUCCAUUUGAAGAUACGUGUUCCCCACAGCAUUAGAGGAUGGAACCAGAAGGGCCUUUCUCAGAGCAAGAGCAGCCUGUGUUACCCAGGGACAGUCUGGUGGCAGUAAGGAGCAGGCACUCCUAUGGCCGGCCCCACACGUGGCCCUGCUCUCCCAUCGGCGGCGGCCAUGCUGGAGUGAGUUGCCACAGGGGCAUUGCCUCUAGGCCUUUCUUUCUGUGCCGCUUUCCUUUGUAAAAUGGUCACGAUAGUGACCUCUACCUUUUAGGGCUGCCGUGAGGAGUCAGUGAGCAUGGAGCAAGGCAUGGAGCACGGUGCCGGGCACAGGCUGAAUGCUCCAUAAACACCAGUCUGUUACUACCAUCCUGGCAAUCUUACAGUGAAGAUAACUCUGUUCUAGAUGGCCUGGAUGGCUUAGAACGGUGGUGUUUUAUUUAUUUAUUUUAAUCAGAGAAUAAUCUUAGAUUAUUAUUCAGGAAAGAAUCAGGCCAGCGUGUAGUUUGAAAAAGCAGAGUCAAUAUUUUGGGAAAAGGAAAACAAUGCCUAACGUUGACGAAAUAGUCUGUAGCAUGAGUAGCGUCUGGGACAUGGGAUACCGGGGCUUGGGAAACGUGGGUUUCACCAUCCGGGGUCUGGAUCUUCACAGAAGGGAAGCCAGGGAUAGACAACUUUCAAGUGCAGGUACCGCUGGGAAGAUGGAGCCAUGGAGGGAUUUACCAGGAUUGGACUGUGUCUUCCAGCUGGCGGGGGUCCACGGCAUGGAGAGGACCGAAUGUGAGGUGGCUUGGAGGACGGACUGGCCAUCAGAGAAUUGGAUGCCUGGUUUAUUAUUAUUUUUAUUUAUUUAUUUUUAAUGUUUAUUUUUGAGAGAGCGUGAGCAGGGGAGGAACAGAGAGAGAGGGGGACAGAGGAUCCAUAGCGGGCUCCACGCUGACAGCCUGAUGUGGGACUCAGACUCAUGAACCACAAGAUUGUGACCUGAGCCAAAGUCGGAUGCGUAACUGACUGAACCACCCAGGUGCUCCUGGAUGCCUGGUUUAAAAGAUGUCCCCAGUUUGUUCUCAGGCACCCAUCAGGAGGGACAGUAGCCAGGUUCUGCUCUGGCUCUGGUGCCCGUUGGGACAGACCUGGGACAGACAGAUACCUCCCACAGCCUGGCUUGAGUUGAGGGUUCUGUCAUCUUUUUGUGGUUUGGUGGGGGUGGGGAGCAGUCUCCCGUGAGCCCUGGCAGACUUUGAACUGGCCCUGGUUUCUGGGGUCUUCAGAAUUUGUAGUCAUUUAUCACCUGGCCCUCAGAGCUGAAGCCAAACGAAGUUCCAUUUUCAUGCCCUUAUCUCCAUGGAACCUUCUAGGCACCCCUUUUGAGAGGCCGUGGUUCUAGCAUCUCCCCUACAGCUGGCUCUGAGAUCAUGAGAACACCUACGUUUGUAGAGCACCGUACCAGGCAAUGUGCUGAACACGACUGUUACUUAAACCUCAUGACAAUCCUAGAAGCUAGGCUCGAUUAUUAACUCCAUUUAACUGAUGAGUAAAACGGAGGCCUGGAGAGGUCAAGUAACCUGCACAAGGUCACGUAGCUAGUAAGCCAUGGAGCCAGGGUGUGGAUCGUGCCACAGGUGCUUGCAGAUGCCUCAUCAGAGAAACUUUGGGUGAACGUAACAGUUCUCACCCUCCCCUGGUUGAGAACCUCUCCUGGUUCUCACCCUCCCCUGUUCUGCCUUGCCCCCACUAGCUCCAGGAUCUUCUGAGCCACCCCUGAGCUAACUGGAGGGGCCUGCCCAUCCCUAGCCCUAGCAAAGUGGGCUCAGCCUCCAGGGGAACAGAGGCAGCCUUGUGGCGGGAGCUCCCCGCAACUGCCAGCACCACUCCCCCUUGGUUGGGUCUGUUUCAACACCCCAGAGCAGCACAUUCCAUUCUGUAGCACAGCUGGGGGCUGGGGAUUCCGGAUUCCCCUGGCCGCCUGCUUUCUUCAGGGCCCCAGCAGAGCCUGCUGUCUGGGCUGGGACACUGGGUCCCAGCCACACACAUUCCAGCAGCAACCACCCCCCACGUUGGAUUUGCCAAGGAGUGAACUUUAGCCAGGAUUACAGCCGACUAAACAGUUGUGGGAUGUGAGCUUCCUUUGUGGGGCUCAAGAGGCUGGAUGCUGAUGGGGCUGAGAGGGGAGGAGGGGUUGGGGGUGGGCUGCUUUAGGAGUCAGGAGAAAAGCUGCCCUCUGAGGCAGGCUUCUCUGCCGCUGUCAUGGCCCCUGGAGGGGGAUCUGAGCAGGGCUCCCAGAAAUCUUCCUGUAAGGCAGGGCAGCAGAGGCAUUGUACCCCACCCGCCCUGGGCUUCGCCCCCAGUAGUAUAGUGGUUAAGAGCAUGGGGUCAAAUCCUAGUGCCACCACUAUGUACAAGCUGUGUGUCCUUCAGUAAGUUAAUUAACUUCUUUGAACCUCAGCCUCAUCAUUAAAAUGGGGAUAAUAAUAGUACCUACUUCCAAGGGCUGUUGGCAGGAUUAAAUUAUAAUACCAAAGUGCCUGGGGUAGUGCCUGCCACCCAGCUUGACAUUUUUUGAUUGCUAGUAUUAUGUCUUCUCCCCUCCAUUGGCUUACAUCGCACCUGGGUGUGUAUUUUCUGAAGCAAACUCCCAAGUGUAGGUUCUGGCCUCCUGAAAGUAACAACUCCGGGUAGGUAAGAUGUUCCCGUCUUUUCCCUGCCUUUCUGCCAGUAGCGUUUCUUAGUUAACCAAUCAGGAAUGUACUGAGCACCUAUUAUGUGUAGGCACUGUGCUAGCUAGGUCAAGGCCUUUGGUUAAUAAAAAAUAUUAAUUAUCAUUUAAUGAACAUUUUCUAAAUGCCAGGCACUGGCUCCAGGAGCUUUUCAUAUAUUUCCCUAUUUUUUCAGCCACCCUGUGAAGUAGACAUUAUUACUCCAUUUUAUGGUGUUCCCAAUGUCACAUGGUAUCUAAGUCACAGGAUUGGAACCCAGAACUGGGCUCUCCUACCUCUUUUCACCUGAUCCUGAGUGUCUAGCAGCCUGCCCCAAAUCCUUCCUGUUCUUUAUCAGAACUCUGAGUUUGCACCCGACUGAAACACUUGACUUCCUCUGCUCCCUUGCAACUAGGGAUGGCCGCGUGACUCCAUUCUGGCCGAGGAGCUACGUAGUGGAAAUCUACCAGGUGGGACUUGGGAAAGUACUGUUUUCCUGAUCAAAAGGGCCAGGGGCAGCUGACAGGCUGCUUUUGCUUGAAGCCCUUCCCUGCCCUGCUGCCUGGAAUGUGGUCGAGAAGUGGGGAGGAGGAGGCGACCACGAGAACAGAAGCCACCCCUCGCAGGGCAGGAAGACAGAAUGAGCCAGGGACAUGGACCUCCCACCAGCCCAUCUCCAGACUUCUCGUGUGGAGCAGCCCCACUGUUUCUUGGGGUUUCUGUCAGAGGCAGCCGUUCACCGACACACAGCCCAGAUGCUCGCCGGGCAGCACCAGCUGUCUGUCUCCAGGCCGGCCAGGAGGGAGCAUGUUGUGACUGAAGGAAAUGAAGGGUGGGCUCAGGCCGCGUGGGGCUUUGCCCGGUCUUUGGAAGGAUUCUUCUUGGUCCCAGGGGAGAGACUGCCGGGAGGGUCCCACAGCAGAUGUCGGGAGCAGAGCAGAGAGCAGGGCUUGACCCCUGUGUGGGGGGCGGGGGAGGAGUGCUUUACUGGGGCUUCCCAGGAUGGGCUAAGGGAGCCUCUCCCCGCCCGCCGCCUCUCACUGGCUGCCAGCACCUGACAGAGGUCGCUAUUGUGCUCUAGCCAGAAGUUGCUUUGAGUCCUGUGUGUUCAGUGGAAAAAUAAUCCCUGGUCCUGGUUGACCAUAGAAGUGUCCGUAAAUAUUUGGUCGGGGUAGGAGUUUGGGAGACAAGGGGCAGAUUCAGGGAGCUGGAGGGCUCUGGGUGAGGGUGGGCGGCAGCGGCUUCCUCGGAGCUGAGGACAAACAAGCAGGCCUCUGCUGCUCCUGACCUGUGGUGAGGCCACCUGACUGCCCGGGGAGGUGAUUUACGGGCAGGCUGUCAGACCACCUGUUAGCUUCCCCUGGCCCCACAGCAGAAUGUGGGCCCUUUGGCCUGCCUCACUUCUCUGUGGCAGCCUGCUUCUCUGAGAGCCCUGGAAGCCAAGGUCCUCCUCACAGGACGCGCCCCAUUGUCUUGGAGGAGCGGGGAGCCUGGACUGGACUUGGCAGCUGUACGUACUGUCGCUGGUGAGGAAAGCUGCUCUGGGGUGUCCCCAGCCCCCCUGCCCUGGGUACCUCUGCCUCGUCGCUCGGCAUUCCUGACAAACCCCCGGGAUUUCCUCACACCACCCCUUCCCUGAGUAGCAGGAGCCCGUUGCCUCCAUUUUAAGCCUUCUCCCCUCCCUGCCCCAUUCAGUUCACGGUAGCGGCCCGCGUGUGCUCUGAAGUCGCUGAAGAAGCCCCUCGGUUAUUAUAGCCACUUCCUUCCCGCACGCAGGACCAAGAAGCUCCAAGCCUGAGACAGGGAGGCUAAGACACAAAACAGGAGUCAACUUGGCAAAGGCCACAUGCUGGGUCGUGUGGGCCUGACUAGACUUGGCUCACUGUCCCAGGAGUGGAGAGGCCCCAGGACGAAGCCGUGGGACAAGUGACUGCAGCUUGCCUGGCCAGCGGUGCAUCGGGUACCAGGCCGAGGUGCCCAGGGAUGAGGGUGCUGUACUUCCACCCUGGGGCCCAUCUCUCCCCCGGGUGCCCCCAUCCAUCUCCGGGCUUAGCCUGCUUCUCCUAAAGGGAAUCCAGCCCUGGAGGCCCCUUUGUGGGCCAGUGCCAAGGGAGGACUGGAGGAGCCCUGGCCAGGGAUGGUUUCUGGGCCCAUGGACCAUGGCUUUGAGGGGCUUCUGAAGCCCCUGAGAUAACCUGCAAAAAGAGCUGCAUUUCCCUGGGGAGAGGGUUCAUGGCCCUGAUCAGAUUCUAAGACGAAUCCAUGAUGCAGAAACUGUUAGUAUUCAGUGUGAUGGUUGUGGACGUGUGUGUGUGUGUGUGUGUGUGUGUGUGUGUGUGUGUGUGUGUGUGUGUGUCAAGGAGAGGCACUGGGGCAGUGGCCAUGUGGGCUCCACACUCACCGAAGUCGCUGGAACACAUCUGUUCCAUGAGGCCGUCGGCACUGUGCUCCAUUUCACACUGGGCACAGAUCUUGGUCACUGUCAAGAGAGAAGCAGGGGUGGAGGCGAGGGAAGCUCAUGAGGGGAUCAGAGUUCAAUAAACCACUUAGAGCCCAGGCUAAUGACUGAA
Felis catus (domestic cat) is the source of this 5383-nucleotide long non-coding RNA. RefSeq lists it as uncharacterized. The record is from RefSeq and is a predicted model, not a curated record. NCBI's taxonomy places the organism in Eukaryota, Metazoa, Chordata, Mammalia, Carnivora, Felidae. The transcript has 2 exons.